GUUCAUAGUGCUGGCUUAUUCUUCAGGUCCAUUCAGGAAGAACUUUUCCAGGAGAGAUCUUACUGAUAGAGCUUUUGCACAACUAUAAUGUCAUCUACUUGGAAUAUCCAGGCCAAAAAGGACCAGGAAGAACUUCUGGAAGUAAAGAUAGAGGACCAGGAGGAGGAAGAGAAUAAAUAUACCUCCAGACAGGAUGAGAGCCUUCAAAAGAACAACAGAGAGGUCUUUCGACAAUACUUCAGGCAGUUCUACUACCAGGAAACAUCUGGACCUCGGGAAGCUUUGAGCCGACUCCGGGAGCUUUGCCAUCAAUGGCUGAGGCCAGAGACUCACACCAAAGAACAGGUCCUGGAGCUGCUGGUGCUGCAGCAGUUCCUGACCAUCCUACCUGAGGAACUUCAAGCCUGGUUACAGGAGCAGCAUCCAGAAAAUGGAGAGGAGGUGGUGAAUGUGCUGGAAGAUUUAGAGAAAGAGC
Molecule: long non-coding RNA, 475 nt
Filed under: Marmota monax (woodchuck)
Lineage: Eukaryota; Metazoa; Chordata; Mammalia; Rodentia; Sciuridae
Source: RNAcentral